This 84-nucleotide transfer RNA is filed under the name Dermacentor silvarum. Its description in RNAcentral is "transfer RNA leucine (anticodon UAA)". It matches the Rfam family "tRNA". From Rfam's summary of the family: Transfer RNA (tRNA) molecules are approximately 80 nucleotides in length. Their secondary structure includes four short double-helical elements and three loops (D, anti-codon, and T loops). Lineage: Eukaryota; Metazoa; Arthropoda; Arachnida; Ixodida; Ixodidae. The record is from RNAcentral.
GUCAGGAUGGCCGAGUGGUCUAAGGCGCCAGAUUUAAGCUCUGGUCCUCGCAAGAGGUCGUGGGUUCGAACCCCACUCCUGACA